RNAcentral lists this ribosomal RNA (464 nucleotides) under uncultured bacterium. RNAcentral's name for it is "partial 16S ribosomal RNA". It matches the Rfam family "Bacterial small subunit ribosomal RNA", at positions 339 to 795 of the family's 1533-position model. The record is from RNAcentral.
CUACGGGUGGCUCCAGUGAGGAAUUUUGCGCAAUGGGGGUAACCCUGACGCAGCAACGCCGCGUGAGUGAAGAAGGCCUUUGGGUCGUAAAGCUCUGUCAACUGGGAAGAAGUUAGAAUUUAUUAACAGUGGAUUCUAUUGACGGUACCAGUGGAGGAAGCGCCGGCUAACUCCGUGCCAGCAGCCGCGGUAAUACGGGGGGCGCAAGCGUUAUUCGGAAUUAUUGGGCGUAAAGGGCGCGCAGGCGGUCGUGUCGGUCGGGUGUGAAAGCCCGGGGCUCAACCCUGGAAGUGCACUUGAACAGCAAGACUGGAGUACGGGAGAGGAGAGCGGAAUUCCUGGUGUAGAGGUGAAAUUCGUAGAUAUCAGGAGGAACACCGAUGGCGAAGGCAGCUUUCUGGACCGAUACUGACGCUGAGGCGCGAAGGCGUGGGUAGCGAACGGGAUUAGAUACCCCAGUAGUC